This 204-nucleotide unclassified non-coding RNA is filed under the name Hevea brasiliensis (rubber tree). The record is from RNAcentral. Lineage: Eukaryota; Viridiplantae; Streptophyta; Magnoliopsida; Malpighiales; Euphorbiaceae.
CCACUACAUCGGCGGCAUCAUCAAGCACGCCAAGGCCAUCAACGCCUUCACCAAUCCGUCGACCAACUCCUACAAGCGUCUGGUCCCGGGCUAUGAAGCGCCGGUGCUGCUCGCCUACUCGGCGCGCAACCGUUCGGCAUCCUGCCGCAUCCCUUACACGACGUCGCCAAAGGCGAAGCGCGUCGAGGUGCGUUUCCCCGAUCC